UGCUAGUUUCAACCGCACUUUGUAUGUAAAAAAGAAGUUUGAAAAAUAGCUCACAUACAAGGCGAGUCUAGACUGGAGG
Regulatory RNA element from Spiroplasma diminutum, 79 nucleotides. NCBI's taxonomy places the organism in Bacteria, Bacillati, Mycoplasmatota, Mollicutes, Entomoplasmatales, Spiroplasmataceae. The record is from Rfam.